This 274-nucleotide ribosomal RNA is filed under the name uncultured prokaryote. Its description in RNAcentral is "partial 16S ribosomal RNA". It matches the Rfam family "Bacterial small subunit ribosomal RNA", at positions 506 to 779 of the family's 1533-position model. The record is from RNAcentral.
UGUCAGCCGCCGCGGUAAUACGAAGGGGGCUAGCGUUGUUCGGAUUUACUGGGCGUAAAGCGCACGUAGGCGGACUAUUAAGUCAGGGGUGAAAUCCCGGGGCUCAACCCCGGAACUGCCUUUGAUACUGGUAGUCUUGAGUUCGAGAGAGGUGAGUGGAAUUCCGAGUGUAGAGGUGAAAUUCGUAGAUAUUCGGAGGAACACCAGUGGCGAAGGCGGCUCACUGGCUCGAUACUGACGCUGAGGUGCGAAAGCGUGGGGAGCAAACAGGAUU